UCUUAAAUAAAAUAAACUUAAUCGAAGAACUAAUAACAACGGAUAUCGAAUAUUUUAUUGUUCAUGUUUUUCAUUUUAUUAAUCAAUAUCAUUUUUUAUUCAGUUCUUUAAUAAGUUCUUCCAUUAAUGUUUUAUCCAAAAACAUUUUUAUACGAAUGAUGGACCUAUAUACACGAAAUUUCUGCGAGAAAAGCUUCAAUAAAAUUUUCGCUUGUCGUUGGCGAAAGCUUGUGUGUUGCACCGCUGAUUGUCGAGAUAUCGACUAUGGAAAUAUACGUCGAUAUGACACGAAAAUACCUGAAACGCUGCAAUUUAUACUGUUCUGAUAUUUACAUAGGAAUAUUAAUAUCCCGAAAAGAUUUAAACUUUCGUCGAUGGAACGUUUCCCUAAAAUGAGAAACUUUCUUUUUGAUACUCAUCAAAUUUUUAUCUUCGGGAUAUUAUCGUGCAGGGAGUUAAAAAAGGAAAAUUUAAAAAGGGUGAAUGUGUUUAAAUAGAAGAAAAAUAAAAUAUUAAUAUAUCUUUAACUCUUUUACAGUGUAAUAAAAUUAGCAAUAAAAUAAAUUAUUCGUUCAUUGUCAAGAUUCAUAUUAUUCUUGACUUCUCUCUUAGAUUAGACUGUGAAAGAGUUAAUAUACAAUAAUUAAAAUUAAGAAAAAUGGGAAUGAAGUUUUAUAGACUUUCCAAUAAUUUUUUAGAAUAAUUAUAAAUUAUAUUUUUAAGUUUUUCAUAUUAAAAGCACAGCGAAAUACAACUUUUAAAUUCCAAAAUCAUCUUUUUUAACAUCCUGCACUCAUUAUUUCUGACACGUGUGCUAGUUUCAUCAUCUUCGAUCGAUUCGCACGAAUGUCUGUCAUGUAUGCGUCUAUGUGAAAGAAUCAUAAUUAUAAAAUUGUCAUAAGAUAACGAGACUUAUCGUACACAUCGAAACAACGUCCAUUUUAAAUCGAUUGAGAAAGAAAGGAUUAGACUGCGAUCGAUUCGAAACUCGUAUAUAAGCUUACUUGUACGAGCUUACGUUUUUUUUUUUUGAAAACAUAAUUCGAUUAAUUGUUUAAUUAAUUGUUUCUUUUUUUGUUUUGUUUUAUAUGUGUGUCCGUGUAUCGUGCCAAGAACUGUUCGAGUUAUCGAUACGAUUUAUUUUUCAGCUACUUCCAUCGACAUUGCCAAAAUCGUCUGACUCGCGACCAUUUGUGUCGUCGAAAUCGAGACAGGAGGCCAUCGUCUUGGCGCGCGCGAGCUACCGGAAGUUAUAGUCGUGAUGCACGGCUGCAACCGGAACACAUGGGACAUCGUGAAGAUUUGAACUCUCUGGUAAAAGUUCUCACAGAAGUUGAAAAUGCAAAUUCGUGGUAAACGCGCUCAAGUGAAAUUUUUAAGGGUGAGGAGAAGAAAGAAUUUUCUCCACGGUUUCGACGAACGAUGGCGAAUAUUAUAUUUGAAUGGCUGUAUGUAACUGUGGUGUAUCAUUGGAUGUAAUAAAGGAAUUGUACAGAGA
Molecule: long non-coding RNA, 1498 nt
Organism: Apis dorsata (giant honeybee)
Lineage: Eukaryota; Metazoa; Arthropoda; Insecta; Hymenoptera; Apidae
Exons: 2
Source: RefSeq, a predicted model, not a curated record